ACAAACAGAGUGGUGUGUGGCUGGCCGCGUGGUCUGUGACACCCUCAUCCCCACCCUGGCCAGGGCGCGGCGCCCCACACAGCAGAACACUUCCGGCCACGACUCCACUCAGGGCCCCACACCAGCCCCAGCCAGGCUCCACACCCUCAGAGAUGGCAGAAUAAAAGAAAACUGAGUAUUAGACAUCUGGUGAGCUGCAGGAAGGGUUGGGGGCGAGGCUGUGUAUAUAUGGCUAAAAGUGUUUGCAAGACACUCCGCCAUGCCACUGGGAUCACUAACUGUUGACCCGUGCCCCAUCAGGACGUCAUUGUCUCCAGUCGUGUGGUCCAGUGAGUCACCGCUCUACCGCACGACAGUGACCCCAAGGAAGUCCCGGU
This is a long non-coding RNA of Eriocheir sinensis (Chinese mitten crab), 377 nucleotides long. RefSeq lists it as uncharacterized. Lineage: Eukaryota; Metazoa; Arthropoda; Malacostraca; Decapoda; Varunidae. The transcript has 3 exons. The record is from RefSeq and is a predicted model, not a curated record.